This 97-nucleotide transfer RNA is filed under the name Mycobacterium tuberculosis. RNAcentral's name for it is "tRNA-Arg(tcg)". The record is from RNAcentral. Lineage: Bacteria; Bacillati; Actinomycetota; Actinomycetes; Mycobacteriales; Mycobacteriaceae.
GGUCGGCUGGAUAAGCCCGGCGUCGAUCAUCGCCGCUUCGAUCGGCGCGAUGUCACCGUUGUCGAUAUCGGCCGGAUCCCAACCCGGCGCCAUCGUC